RNAcentral lists this long non-coding RNA (6679 nucleotides) under Homo sapiens (human). Its description in RNAcentral is "HSALNT0346303". Lineage: Eukaryota; Metazoa; Chordata; Mammalia; Primates; Hominidae. The record is from RNAcentral.
UGGAAAGCCUGGGAGCUGAAUUCCGGAAGAUCCCCACAUCGAUGAAAGCAAAGCGAAGCCACCAAGCCGUCAUCAUGUCCACGUCGCUACGAGUCAGCCCAUCCAUCCAUGGCUACCACUUCGACACAGCCUCUCGUAAGAAAGCCGUGGGCAACAUCUUUGAAAACACAGACCAAGAAUCACUAGAAAGGCUCUUCAGAAACUCUGGAGACAAGAAAGCAGAGGAGAGAGCCAAGAUCAUUUUUGCCAUAGAUCAAGAUGUGGAGGAGAAAACGCGUGCCCUGAUGGCCUUGAAGAAGAGGACAAAAGACAAGCUUUUCCAGUUUCUGAAACUGCGGAAAUAUUCCAUCAAAGUUCACUGAAGAGAAGAGGAUGGAUAAGGACGUUAUCCAAGAAUGGACAUUCAAAGACCAAGUGAGUUUGUGAGAUUCUAACAGAUGCAGCAUUUUGCUGCUACCUUACAAGCUUCUCUUCUGUCAGGACUCCAGAGGCUGGAAAGGGACCGGGACUGGAAAGGGACCAGGACUGAACAGACUGGUUACAAAGACUCCAAACAAUUUCAUGCCCUGUGCUGUUACAGAGGAGAACAAAAUGCUUUCAGCAAGGAUUUGAAAACUCUUCCGUCCCUGCAGGAAAGGAUUGAUGCUGAUAGAAGAGCCUGGACAGAUGUAAUGAGAACUAAAGAAAACAGAUGGCUGGAGAUGACAUUUAUCCAGGGUCACUUUGUCAGGCCCUAGGACUUAAAUCGAAGUUGAACUUUUUUUUUUUUUUUUAACCAAAUAGAUAGGGGAAGGGAGGAGGGAGAGGGAGGACAGGGAGAGAAAAUACCAUGCAUAAAUUGUUUACUGAAUUUUUAUAUCUGAGUGUUCAAAAUAUUUCCAAGCCUGAGUAUUGUCUAUUGGUAUAGAUUUUUAGAAAUCAAUAAUUGAUUAUUUAUUUGCACUUAUUACAAUGCCUGAAAAAGUGCACCACAUGGAUGUUAAGUAGAAAUUCAAGAAAGUAAGAUGUCUUCAGCAACUCAGUAAAACCUUACGCCACCUUUUGGUUUGUAAAAGGUUUUUUAUACAUUUCAAACAGGUUGCACAAAAGUUAAAAUAAUGGGGUCUUUUAUAAAUCCAAAGUACUGUGAAAACAUUUUACAUAUUUUUUAAAUCUUCUGACUAAUGCUAAAACGUAAUCUAAUUAAAUUUCAUACAGUUACUGCAGUAAGCAUUAGGAAGUGAAUAUGAUAUACAAAAUAGUUUAUAAAGACUCUAUAGUUUCUAUAAUUUAUUUUACUGGCAAAUGUCAUGCAACAAUAAUAAAUUAUUGUAAACUUUGUGGCUUUUGGUCUGUGAUGCUUGGUCUCAAAGGAAAAAAUAAGAUGGUAAAUGUUGAUAUUUACAAACUUUUCUAAAGAUGUGUCUCUAACAAUAAAAGUUAAUUUUAGAGUAGUUUUAUAUUAAUUACCAAACUUUUUCAAAACAAAUUCUUACGUCAAAUAUCUGGGAAGUUUCUCUGUCCCAAUCUUAAAAUAUAAAAUAUAGAUAUAGAAGUUCAUAGAUUGACUCCUUGGCAUUUCUAUUUAUGUAUCCAUUAAGGAUGAGUUUUAAAAGGCUUUCUCUUCAUACUUUUGAAAAAUUUCUUCUAUGAUUACAGUAGCUAUGUACAUGUGUACAUCUAUUUUUCCCAAGCAAUAUGUUUUGGGUUUAGAGUCUGAGUGAUGACCAAGAUUCUGUGUGUUACUACUGUUUGUUUAAUAGGAACAAAUAUAGAAAUAAUAUUAUCUCUUUGCUUAUUUCCCGUUAAAACUAUAAUAAAAUGUUUCUAGGACAGCAUACGUAAAUGCCUGCUAUGCUUUCCUAACAAAAAUGAAAUUUUUCCACAAGUUAAGCAUUUUAGAAACACCUAAAGUGUUUUUCAAAAUGCUGAUCACAGUAAGUCAAAACAAGUGAAUUACCUCACAUCUGCUGGGAGGGUUACAAGUCAGGAUUAUAAAUACUAUGUUUUUAAAAAGAAAAUCAAAUGGCAAAUUCUAUUUUCAAAUAGUAAUUUACUCGUUCACUGAAGAUAAUGCAAAGCACUUUAUUAAAAAUGAGUUCUUUCCAAGAGAGCAUUCCGGAAGAUAACACAUUAAUAUGCAAAAUUGUGUGUGUGUGUGUGUGUGUGUGUGUGUGUGCAUUUUUCUAAGAGGAAUAUUGAUAAUUUUCACGAGAUUUGUAGAGACAGCUAUAACUCCAAAAAAAGUUAUAAACAGAAAAAGGGUUUGCGGAGUAGCAGGAGAAUUGGAGGAAGCCUAACCCAGGCUGGGGACAUACUAGACAAUUCCAUAGAAAUUUUCCCUGUUUCAUUUUCACUGUGCUGUGUUACGGGAGUAUGAAAGAGAAGGCUGUAAAGAGGCCCUCGGCUCCAUAACCCUACUUUCCCAUCCUUAUGAACUGAGCUUUCUUAAUGUUCACUGCGUGUGCUAGAAAUAACUUCCUUCUCCUGAUAGGGCCCAUCAGUGAAAAUCUUUAUUUUCUAUUCAAAAAUUGAAGCACACUUGGAUGCUAAAUGUAGUUCAAGAGUUAAGUGUAUUAUACAUACUCAUAACUAUUUACUCUGCCACUGUUGUUUUCAAUAGGGUACAAAGUAUAUCUUCUCCUCUUUUCACAUUAGCAUGUAUUAAGUUGUUUUCUUGCAGUAUAUUACGUUAUUUUCUGAUUUCAAGGCUGUAACAUGGGAGACAAAUUAAAAAGCAAUUUGGAUGCACUCCACAAUGGUAUGGAGAAUAAUAACACAUCCAGUAGAUUAUCACAAACGUGUCAUCUUUACCAUUCAUGGAGAACAAAAGUUGGAAUCAAUUUAAUUGCAUAAGGAUGAUUUUUAGCUUCAUAAUACAUUCAUUACUUAAUGUGAGGUGAAAAUAAACAUCAGUAGAACAGGGAGGAUUGGUUCAGUUUAGAAAUUUAUGGCACAAGGAUAAACAAAUAUAUCUCAGGACAUCUCACUGUAAUUGAAGAAAUGAAAGCAGCAAAGAUUAAAUAGCUCGUUAAUCAUAUUUGUAUCAUGAGAUCACAGUAAUAACUUUCACUGAGUGUUUACUCUCAGUCAGACAAUUUUCUAAGUGUUUUUUUUGUGUAUUACUAAUACAUCACUUAAUUAGUGCCAUGACAUAAAUGCUAAGGGCAUGUGCGUGUGUAAUAUAGUAAUAAAACUGAAGCACAGAGAGGUGCAGUAACUUGGUCAAUGACACGCAGCUAAUAACUCCAGAAAUCAAAUCCAGGAACUCUGGCCUUCAUUCCCAGCCACUAGACUAUACCGGUUCUUUAGGAGAAACCAAGCUUCUCUUUUUCUUUUAAGUAACGAUACUUCUAUGUUAGUCAGUCAUGAAGACAGGAAGGCCUGGCCUCUGAAGCAUCACUUUUAUCUGACCUGGGUAUGUUUGUCUAUUUAUUUGUUACACGUGCUACAUGGGGAAAGCGUCUUAGUUUAAUAGUUUUAAUUGUAUCAAGGAUGUGCUUAGAUACAGGCUUUCAAGCCUGCAGUUAAAAUAACACUUGUAUUAGCAUCCUGGAACACAAGGCCACACGUAAGCUUUGGGUCUUAGUUUGUUCAUUGAAGGAACUCAGAAACCAUGGAUUCAAUAUUUUAUUCACUCAGUUCAUCCCCUGGCCCACAGCAAAGGGGGAUUUGUCCAGCAGAUAGGAUUUUCUGAGAAAGGGGUCCAGGGUGUAUGGUUGACUAUAUUUUUCUCAUCAUCGGAGGGUAACCAGGGUACGCAAUUGACAUUCCCUUAGAAAGUUUCAUCUGCUAGUAAACUAAUAAUGAAGCCAUGGCCUGAGGAUUGCAUGUUUUUUCAGAGUAUUUAGUUGACCUUUCUAUACUCCACAUGAGGGUUUCUCAGAACAGCCUGUAUGGAUUCCCAGCAGAACAGAUGUGGGGGGCAGGGCAGCAUUUGUAUCUUACCCAUUCAACAAAAAUACAGUAAGCACCCAUAUGUGGGAGCCUCCAUGGCCAGAAUGGAUCCUGGUUCUCCAUAUCAGAAGAACAGGAAAGGUUUUUAAAAGGGGUAUCACACGGUGAGAAGUGUGAUGGGAGUUUAGACAGAAUGCUCUGGAAGCAUAAGGCAGGAAUUAUGUGUGUGUGUGUGUGCGCGCACGCGCGUGUGUUUGUGUUUGUGUGUGCGUGUGUGCUUGUGCAUGUGUGUGUGUGCUUGUGUGUGUCUGUGUCUGUAUGUCUGCGUGUUUGGGGAGUAGCAGGAGAAUUGGAGGAGGCCUAAUCCAGUUGGAGGAGACCCUAGCAAAUUCCACAGAGAAUUUUCCCUGUUUUAAAGUAGGAGUUGGGGGAGUAGAGAGAAAAAUUUUUAUUUCAGCCUAUGCCUAUAGUAUUUGCCAAGACAAGGAGGCAGGAAAGAGUAUUUGAAAAUCUCCAGGCAGUUCAGUCUGACUAGGGGCCUAAGCAUUCCCAGCUAAUAAUUAGGAAGGCAGCCAGGGCCGGGUGCCGUGGCUCACUCCUGUAAGCCCAACACUUUGGGAGGCCGAGGCAGGCAGAUCACUUGCGGUCAAGAGUUCCAGACCAGCCUGGCCAACAUGGUGAAACGCUGUCUCUACUAAAAAAUACAAAAAUUAGCAGGGUGUGGUGGUGCGUGCCCGUAAUCCCAGCUACUUGAGAGGCUGAGGCGUGAGAAUCACUUGAACCUGGGAGGCGGAGGUUGCAGUGAGCCCAGAUCACCCCACUGUACUCCAGCUUGGGCUGCAGAGCGAGACUCCAUCUUGAAAAAAAGAAAGGCAGCUGGGUUUUAAAUGACAAGUGUAAGUAUUAAUUUUAUAUAUUCUGGAGGUAAUAGAGAAACAUUAAAAGUAACAUUUACUGUCUAGCUACUGUGUAUUGGGUCCUAGGAAAAGAUACGGUUAAUAGCUUGAAAAAUAAUCCACCAUCUAGCAGUUGAACUUGGUCAGAUUCUGCAGAACUCUGUAGCUUCACACUGAAUGAAAAGCUAUAGAGGACCUUUGCAGUUCAAUAACAGUGGGCAGCAAUGUGGCAGCUGAAGAUAAAACAGAAGUAAAAGAUUAUGAAGAAAAGCAUUGUGAGGCCCGAUUGUGGAAACAGCAAACUAAUAUAUUGCCCAAUUAAAUAUUUAAGAAAUUGUGACUACACCUGAUCCUUAUAAUGAGUCUUAUUAUUUAACAAGUAUUAUAAAUAAAUGGUUAUAAGCUCUUUUUUUUUGUCUUGAAAAACUCUUCUGCAAACAGUUUCCAGAUAUUUUAAGUGAUUAUCAUGGGUAAUGCAAAUGUGUUCUAUUUCAAUGUCUAUACACAUUGACAGUGGAUAUGGUUCAGCAAAGUACUGGCAAAACUAUGUUACAGAGCUUUGGAAAUAAGCAUCCUGUGCCAGUAAGAUUUAGCAGUGUUGUUGUCGUUGUUGUUGUUUAAAUUAAAAGUGGAUGAGUAAUCAGAAGACUUUUAGUGUAGCUGCUUUCUCCCCUCUGUACUCCUUACACACAAGCAUGCACACACACAUACACACACAUGUGCACGCACACAGUACAGACACAUAAUCCUACUAGAAGCAUAUCAGCUUUUUUCCCUGAGCUUUUGUUUCCUCAUCUGUGGACAAUAGCAUCGUGUUGAGCAAACAACCCCAGACUGAGCCUGGAAUUCUGGGGUUUUUCCCGACCCUGCCUUAGACAAAUUCCUUUUUUAUCUCUGGGUUUCAUCUGUAAGAAAAAAAACAGCUAGACCAGACGGAUGAUGUCUGUGACCUUUAUCAGCUCUUAUAUUCUACAUCAAUGGGAAAUAGCAACUGUGCCACCUUACGUGAUAGGAUUUUUUUCUGGACCAGUUGGUAUUCCAUAUAUGAUAAGAAUUUCUCUUAAGUAUGAUAAAGGCCUAGUUUAAAAGUUUUCAUCUUUAGCCAAUGGUUGCUGAAGGCACAAUGUGAGGAAAAUCAGUUUUUGUAUGUAUAUCUCUGCUUUUUAAUAGCCUGCCUCCGUUCUGGUUGGUUGGUGCCUGUGCCAGGGCUGGCUGGCUGGCAAUAUUUUGACUAUCUCUUCCAUAGCCAAGCAAUGACAGAGUCACUGAGACAAUCUCCACUGUUGGUGAGAAUUGCAUUCAUAUGUAAAGUUUUCAAAAUAGAGAUUCUUGGUCCCAAACUCUCCAGGCAUUGUUUUUAGGACUAGGUAUUUGUACAAAGCUCUACAGUCAGCUAUAAAGAACAUGAGAUAUAUGGAACCAUUUCUUAUGUUACAUUGGCUCUUCUGUUGGUAGCACUUCAUAAUAUAAAGACCAAGAAAGAGGGUUUGAUUUCAUGGCAUUAGUUAGAAUUUGUUUUACCAUAUUAAUUCUGUCAUUAAUUGAAAAUGAUACUGAUAGGGUUUGGCUCAGUGUCCCCUCCCAAAUCUCCUCUUGAAUUGUAAUCCCCACAGGUUGAGGGAGGGACCUGGUGGAAGGUGAUUGGAUCAUGGAGACAGUUUCCCCAAUGCUGUUCUUGUGAUAGUGAGAGAGUUUUCAUGAGAGCUGAUGGUUUAAAAGUGGCAGUUUCCCCUGACCUCCCUCUCUCCUGCCACCAUGUAAGACGUGCCUUGCUUCCCUUUCACCUUCCGCCAUGAUUGCAAGUUUCCUGAGGCCCCCCCCAGCCAUGUGGAACUGUGAGUCAAUUAAACCUCUUUUUUUAUAAAUUACCUAGUCUCAGGUAGUAUCUUUAUAAUAGCGUAAAAACA